GAUCCUGGCUCAGGACGAACGCUGGCGGCGCGCCUAACACAUGCAAGUCGAACGAGAGAGAAGGAGCUUGCUUCUUCGAUCGAGUGGCGAACGGGUGAGUAACGCGUGAGGAACCUGCCUCAAAGAGGGGGACAACAGUUGGAAACGACUGCUAAUACCGCAUAAGCCCACGGGUCGGCAUCGACCUGAGGGAAAAGGAGUGAUCCGCUUUGAGGUGGCCUCGCGUCCGAUUAGCUAGUUGGUGAGG
This 247-nucleotide ribosomal RNA is filed under the name uncultured bacterium. Its description in RNAcentral is "partial 16S ribosomal RNA". It matches the Rfam family "Bacterial small subunit ribosomal RNA", at positions 15 to 257 of the family's 1533-position model. The record is from RNAcentral.